Molecule: ribosomal RNA, 509 nt
Filed under: uncultured bacterium
Lineage: Bacteria
Description: partial 16S ribosomal RNA
Rfam family: Bacterial small subunit ribosomal RNA
Source: RNAcentral
AUUGAACGCUGGCGGCAGGCCUAACACAUGCAAGUCGAGCGGCAGCGGGAAAGUAGCUUGCUACUUUUGCCGGCGAGCGGCGGACGGGUGAGUAAUGCCUGGGAAAUUGCCCAGUCGAGGGGGAUAACAGUUGGAAACGACUGCUAAUACCGCAUACGCCCUACGGGGGAAAGCAGGGGACCUUCGGGCCUUGCGCGAUUGGAUAUGCCCAGGUGGGAUUAGCUAGUUGGUGAGGUAAUGGCUCACCAAGGCGACGAUCCCUAGCUGGUCUGGGAGGAUGAUCAGCCACACUGGAACUGAGACACGGUCCAGACUCCUACGGGAGGCAGCAGUGGGGAAUAUUGCACAAUGGGGGAAACCCUGAUGCAGCCAUGCCGCGUGUGUGAAGAAGGCCUUCGGGUUGUAAAGCACUUUCAGCGAGGAGGAAAGGUUGAUGCCUAAUACGUAUCAACUGUGACGUUACUCGCAGAAGAAGCACCGGCUAACUCCGUGCCAGCCGCCCGCGGUAA